AACUGAUACUACCUGCGGGAACCUGCGGAAGGAUCAUUAGUGAUUGCCAUCUUGGCUUAAACUAUAUCCAUCUACACCUGUGAACCGUUUGAUUGAAUCUUCUGAUUCAAUUUUACAAACAUUGUGUAAUGAACGUCAUUAGAUCAUAACAUGAAAAAACUUUCAACAAUGGAUCUCU
This 178-nucleotide unclassified non-coding RNA is filed under the name soil metagenome. RNAcentral describes it as "partial contains 5.8S ribosomal RNA, internal transcribed spacer 2, and large subunit ribosomal RNA". The record is from RNAcentral.